Molecule: ribosomal RNA, 426 nt
Filed under: uncultured bacterium
Lineage: Bacteria
Description: bacterial SSU rRNA
Rfam family: Bacterial small subunit ribosomal RNA
Source: RNAcentral
GUAAGGAAUAUUGCACAAUGGGCGAAAGCCUGAUGCAGCAACGCCGCGUGGGUGAAGAAGGCCUUCGGGUCGUAAAACCCUUUUCCAGGGGAAGAGGAAGGACGGUACCCUGGGAAUAAGUCUCGGCUUACUACGUGCCAGCAGCCGCGGUAAAACGUAGGAGGCGAGCGUUAUCCGGAUUUAUUGGGCGUAAAGCGCGCGCAGGCGGCGUCUCAAGUCGGAUGUGAAAUCUCCUGGCCUAACUGGGAGGCUGCGUUCGAAACUGAGGCGCUUGAGGUCAGUAGGGGGGAGUGGAAUUCCCGGUGUAGUGGUAAAAUGCGUAGAUAUCGGGAGGAACACCAGUGGCGAAGGCGGCUCCCUGGACUGCACCUGACGCUGAGGCGCGAAAGCGUGGGGAGCGAACGGGAUUAGAAACCCGUGUAGUCC